Non-coding RNA from Anolis sagrei ordinatus, 1670 nucleotides. The record is from RefSeq and is a predicted model, not a curated record. Lineage: Eukaryota; Metazoa; Chordata; Lepidosauria; Squamata; Anolidae.
CCCCCCGCCUCCCAGUCCGCAUCUGGUGAGUGAUUGCAUAACCUGGAGAUGUUAUUUCCUGGAAUAGGAUCUCAUCCCCCUCUUGGAUCCAAGUUUCUGUAGUACACACUAGGUCAGCUACCUGAUCAUUAAGAAAAUCCCUAAUGGUAGCAGUUUUGUUCCUUAUGGACCUAGCGUUCACUAACACCAGAGUAGGAGGGGAGGACACUGGUUGCCUGUCACAGAUGUACCUGGGGAUAGGCCGCAGGUCAGAGGGGGGCUGAGUCUCCCGCCGACUCAACCUCCCUCUAGUAUUCGGCGUGUGCCUACCGUCGUACCUCCUCCUCCCAGAGAUCGUAGGAAUCCCCAUGCAUAGACCUACUUCUCUUGGAGGCUCUGCAGCACAGAUUAGGUGCCCAGUGUUCGACUGGCCAUCUGAAAAGGAGAUGGGGCAUGGCCAAUUAACAAGUAUCAUAAGUGGGGCCCACAGAGUGGUGAGGAGAAGACUCCAAAAUCUCCCCCUUUGGCAUCGAGGAUGCAUCCUGGCUCAUCUCGGCACUCUCAAAUGGCUCUCCAUUUAUCAGGGAAGCUCUUUGCAAAGUUAAGGGAGACUCCUUGGGAUAGUCCCAGUUUUGAUCCCCAGCUAGGUCUCUGGCAUUUUCAGGGUCCAAAGACUUGCAGGUGGUCCUCCCUUGUGUGUAAUCUAGGGGCUGAGCUGAUGGAUGAUUCAGUCGGCAAAGCAGCCUCCCAAACUGAUUAAGCCGAUCGGCUAGGUGGUUGUAUUCUGCAAGCAGCAGGCUCACCAGUCUUGGGUCCAGUCUUGCACCCUCUUGGCCAGGUCCCUGAUCGUCCAAACAAUUUAAGCUGUCUGGCCCCUUCGGAUUUUCUUCCUGGGGUUUGGAUGAAUCCAAAAUUGCAUUCAGAUCCAGGAACCCCACAGGGCUGUUUGUGGUUCCCUCAUGGAAAUCCAUGGAGAUGAAGUUGUAAUUUUUUUGAGCUCUCUCUGAUCUUGACUGAGAAAGGGAGUACUCUGACCGUGUUGUAAUAAACAGUGUAGAAGGGAGCGUUUUGACCUUGUUGUAAUGGCGGCCACACUCUAACCCUCUAAUCUUCCCCUCCCGCGAAUCUUACAAAGAGCAAUUAAACUCACUUGUAAAUCUUCUCUGGAGGACAGUUUGGCUCAGAUCUUUCUCACAGUGAGCAAUUUAGCUAAAUUGGCUAAGUUGUAAAUCUUUUCUCCGGAGCUCUGCAGAGUUGCUGCUACUCUGUCGCCAUCUUGAUAUUCCUGUGAGUAAUAGCAUGCUUUAUAAAUUUUGAAAGUAGUUAUUAUGGGGUAGCCAUUUCAUUUCCAAACUUGACUUUCAGAAGUCAAGAAUUCUAGGAAUCGUUAUCCAAAGAACUCACCUUUCCCAACUCUAUCCUUAAGUAAAGCUGAAAAAGUGGUUUAAAGAGCUGGGCAUGUUUAGCCAGCAGAUUUCAAGGAUGCCACCAUUAUCACCCUCUUCAAAAAAGGGGAAAGAACAGUCUGCGGAAACUAUCGAGGUAUCUCCCUUCUAACCUCAGCUGGGAAAAUCCUCACAAGAAUCCUUGCAAACCGCCUUCUGCCUCUCUCAGAAGACACCCUCCCAGAAUCCCAGAACGGCUUCCGCCCCUCCAGAGGAACUGUGGACAUGAUCUUCACUGCACGACAA